GAUGAACGCUGGCGGUACGUCUGACACAUGCAAGUCGAACGGUAAGCCACCUUCGGGUGGCCUAGAGUGGCGAACGGCUGAGUAACACGUAGGAACCUACCCCUCAGUCUGGGAUAACGG
This 120-nucleotide ribosomal RNA is filed under the name uncultured bacterium. RNAcentral describes it as "partial 16S ribosomal RNA". It matches the Rfam family "Bacterial small subunit ribosomal RNA", at positions 28 to 149 of the family's 1533-position model. The record is from RNAcentral.